UGACUGAGAAGCAUAUCAGACAGGGGUAGCUGCAUGAGCUCUGAAAGGGGCAGAGAGGAGGCACAGUGAAGACAAAGAGGUAAUGUGUAUUAGGGGGUGAGGAGGCUACAGAACCAUAUGGAAACACUAAGUCAGUUGCUUAGGAGGGAGAAGCUGGAAGGAAAGUUUGUUGUUCUUGGCAGAUGGGUGUGGAGGUUGGAAUGAGUGAAGUCCUUUUAAGUUUUGUUUUGCUUUCUUUCCAGAAUAUCAGUGACGUUUCCUCCCAAUCUAAGAAUUUAACUUAAGAGAAUAUAUUGUUUGUAAGCUUGGGUCAGUAAGGGCAACACAAAACAGCAGCAACAAGGCAAUAGCAUCUGCUAAUAUUUACCUGUCAGCUGAAAUACACAGCAUUUGUAAAGAUGUCUGUCUCCAAAUUAUAGCAUGACUCGCUUUUCCACUUAUCAAGGAGACCUUUCAUGUAAGUGUACACAGAUAAAUGGGAAACUUGUAAUGAUAUUGAGAGGUCUUUACUUUAACAUUUUUAUGUUUUGAUCAAUUCCUAAAUGGACCAGCCACUUCUCAGCUUCAGACACAUCUUCUUGUUUGAUAAGUACACUUUGUUUCUCCUUUCAUUUCUAACCUCCAAGGAAACAAACUAU
RNAcentral lists this long non-coding RNA (638 nucleotides) under Aotus nancymaae (Ma's night monkey). RNAcentral's name for it is "lncRNA (ENSANAG00000039182.1)". Lineage: Eukaryota; Metazoa; Chordata; Mammalia; Primates; Aotidae. The record is from RNAcentral.